AUAUAUAUAUGAAUAUGAGAUUAUGGCGCUCCCACAUUCCUGAGCCAGCAACCCAUAUUGUCCCUGGAUAUGUUGCCCUGGCUUGUCUCUGGAUCAUGUCAGUAGGGUUGAGAAGAUCUGUGAGGUACUGUGCAAGUCUUAUUGGACCUAAAAUUUUAGGUUGUGCAGUCACCAGCAAGGCAACUUUCUGAUGCCCAGUCAACAAGGAAGGUGCUGUGGUGAGCAUGGAAACCGCUGGUAUGAACACAGUGAAGAAAACCGCAGUGCAGUAACCUCAUGCAUGGGCAUUGCUGGCAUUUUGCACAGGCAAUGGUCAGUGAUGGUCUUCCUCGGUCACAACUGAAUAGCCAUCAUCAUCAUGUAUUAUGUAUGUAUGUGUAUGUAUAUAUACACACAUUGACACAAACAUAUAUUGCUAUUUCUAAGUUUAUAAAGUAUGCAUAUACAUGUAUAUAUUUAUAUGUAUGCACAUUUCCAUAAAUGUGUGUGUGUAUGUAUAUAUGUAUGUAUAUUAUAUAUAUAUAUAUAUGUAUAUGUAUAUAUACACACACAAACAUACAUACACACGCAUUCACACACACAUAUAUAAAACAUGUGGUAUAUAUUUAUGCAUGUGUGUAUACCUAUAUAUUUGUAUAUGUAGAUACAUAUUUUGUGUGUAUGCAUAUUUUGUGUCUCUCUCUUAUGCACUCUCUCUCUCUCUCUCUCUCUCUCUCAUAUGCUUCUAUGUAAGUAUAUAAAAUAAAAUUGCUCUCAAAUGACUAUGAUCCUUACAGACAAAUGUGUAUCCAACAAUUUAGUAGAUCCCAACUUUAAAACUUCCGGGCCUCUUUCCUCUUCAGUACAUUCAGAACAUAUAUAUAUGUUCUGCCACACACACACACACACACACACACACACUCUCUCUCUCUCUCUCUCUCUCUCUCUCUCUCUCUCUCUCUCUCUCUCUCUCUCUCUCUCUCUCUCUCUCUCUCUCUCUCUCUCUCUCUCUCUCUCUCUCUCUCUCUCUCUCUCUCUCUCUCUCUCUUGUGAGCUGUAUUCUCUCUGAAGGGGUUUAUAAACACCUAAAUCAUUUUUCAGCAAAUCUAGAUAUUUUCUGAUACAAGGAGCAUUCUGCUACUUAGUAAGUUACAGUGUAUGCACAUACACGCACAUGUGCAUGCGUACACACAAACACACACAUUGUUUUUGUUGAUUUCUCUUUUAUUGUUUUUUUAUAUAUAAAAACAAAAAUAGUAAAAAAAAAACUAUAUGAACAUAAAUAUGUAUGUGUGGGUGGGUGCAUGCUUACAUGUGUAAAGAUGUAAUAGUGUGUGUGUGUAUGUGAGCUGGUGUAUAUAAUUUCUAUGCACAUAUAUACAUAUAUUAUAAAUUUUUUACAUACGCACACAAACAUGUAUGUGUGUAUAUAUACACAUAUAUAUACAUACACACAUGCACACACAAACCUGCAAAUAUAUAUAUAUAUAUAUAUAUAUAUAUAUAUGGGCAUUUACACUUUGAUAUAUUUAUAUACAUACACACAUUCUGACAUAUGUAUGUGUAUAUAUAUUUGUGUUUCCCCUCCCCUUUUUUCCCAUGUGCCUCUAACAGUUUAUAUUUACAAAGACACUGUAUUUUUUAACUAUCUUUUACCAAUCUGCCUCUACUGCAACUCUGCUCCAUUUCUAUUUUACCUCUACUGCAUUUCUGCUCCAUUUCUUGUAUGUCUCUUCUGCAUCUCUGCUCUAUUUCCAGUAUGUCUCUAAAUUGUUUGUUUCAGCUUUGCUUCAUUUUUACUUUAUGUACUUACUGCCAUGCUGCUCUGCUGUCCACUGCAUCUUAUUUCCACAUCUGCUCCUGUGUAGAAGCUGCAAUUCCUUCAUCAGUGUAUCUCUAUAUAUCUAAUUUCUUUACUCUUUUGGCUGCUGUAGGGCUGCAGAUUUUCUGCUCUAUUUCUAUUCCAUUUUCACUUCCAUCUAACUCAGAUACUCGCACAUAUUCAUAGAUGCACAUAUUUACAUACAUACGUAUACACACACACACACAUACACAAGCAUGUGCAUGGAUCCCCUCAUUUAUGCAUACAAGCAUGCAUACACACAUUGGAGGAUAAUCUCUAUUGUAAUUAUGAGAUAUUUAUUUUAUCAUACAAAUCUUAUAUCCUUAACAGAAUCAGAAGCUAAUUAUCUUCUCAACUAAACACAUCCCCACAAUAUAUCCUAUUGUCUUCUGAAACCUAUUCAGCAAACCUAGUUGUAUUGGUGGUUUCCCUAGCUGUACUGGUGAUGUACCUAGUGGUAGUGAUGAUGUUCCUUGUUUUAUCAGUGGUGUAUUUAGCUGCAGCAAUAACAUACUUUUCUACACUAUUGUGUAGUUCAUGAACCUCUUGUUGUUCUACGCACUACUGCUAAUGCACCUAGCCUUGUUGGUUGUGUACUCUAUGUACAUCAUUCCACUGUAACUUCAUAUGUUUCAAAGCUUAAUACUUCCUCCUUUAAGUUGAAUUCACCAGCAAUGGUUUCACUCUCCUCUUCUCCAGUCUAAUUUACACAUUUUAAUUCUACUAAAUGACUUAUCUGUGGAAGAGAGCUGCAAUCUUAACCACACUAAGUUUAAAAGUUGAUCUAAUCAUAGUUUAAUUAUUCCUAACCCACCAGUCAUUUCAACACUCAGCUCUGACUUACCCACUAUCAUUUCAACUACUACAUCCUCCCUACUAACUAAGGUGAACAUUUUUAGUUUCAUACUUUUGAUGUUGGUAAAUGCAGGUUCUCAGCAGCCCACAUCUCCUUUCAAUUGUGGAUUACGCACUCAAGUUGACACCUCCACUGAAGUGAAGGUUGGCUAUCCACCAUUGUUGACCUUACUGGAGAACAUCUCUUCUCAGCUGUAUGUACCCAGAUUUGUUAAAAUCACUAGAUGACACCUCCACUCAGCUAUGUAUCCAGUGUUGACUUCACUACAACACACCUCCACUCAAGUGGGUUACUUAUGCUCAAUCUCCUCACUAGAUGAUUCAUCCUCUUCGUUGAGUGUUAUCCACAUAAAUGUCACCAGUCAGCCUUACCUCCACCAAUUGCCCCAUCUCAUUCCAUGAAUUGUAAACCCUUUUCUGAUUUCUUUUUUACCUCCAAUUUGAUAAAGGUUGUCCACUUUCUCCCAGUAUAUACUAUUGUGGCUUCUCUGCAGCCAAGAUAUUUCCAUCGAUCAAGAAUCUCAUCGCUUCUCUCUUUUUAUCUGUCCUAUACCACACUCUGACAUAAACACACAACAUAUGUACACAUUCACACACACACUUACAUAUAUGCUUGUAUAUAUGUUUGUGUGUGUGUGCAUGCAUAUAUGUAUGUAUAUAUGUGUGUGUGUACAUAUAUAUACGCAUACAGACAUGUAUAUGCAUAUAUAUAUAUAUAUAUAUACACAGACGAGCAUGCAUACAUACACACACACACAUACACACACACACACACACACACACACACGUAUACAUGUGUGUGUGUGUCUGUAUUUCAUAGCUGACAUUUAAUUACAGUGUUCCACAGACAUAUAAAGUUUCUCUUCUCUUCCUCCAAGCCACCACAAAAUCUCCACACUAAUUCUUUAAAUGAAGUUGAAAAAAUUUUUUUAAAUGAAAACGAAAAAACAAGCCUCUUUUUUUUACAUCGUAUAAAAGGUUAAAAUUUGGUUGUUAACUUUAUUAUUUUUACCAGUUUUUAUUGUCUUUUCUCAGAUUUUUUUUACCCCAAUCUUUUUAGUUUUUGCCAUCUCAAAGACAAUUUUCUGUUCAAUUUUUAAACUUUUUUCCAAUAAAUAAAUUAAAAUAAAUAAAAAAUAAUAAAAUAUCUGAAA
This 3831-nucleotide long non-coding RNA is filed under the name Octopus vulgaris (common octopus). The record is from RNAcentral. Lineage: Eukaryota; Metazoa; Mollusca; Cephalopoda; Octopoda; Octopodidae.